AAAUCAGAUCUCGCUGUUCAUUCCUCUGAAAGUUCUGUAAAUGGUGCUACAGUAUUUUUACUGAAAGCCAAAGACAGGAGAAAGCAUCUCACUUAGAAGUGGUUUUAGAAGAUGGUUCCAAGAAGAUUUAGGAGGAGACUGCAGAGGCUUUCACAGCUUGUUCGUGUUGUGCAGCAGACUGUGAUAUCCCAUGGGCCACUGAGCAUUACAGUAACAUCAUUCAUUUGCAUUGUGGGGUGCUGCUGUGUCUCUUUCCCUCACACAAGACUGCCAGUUAUAACUCUAUGGAUUGUUUCCAAAAUCUGAAUAUGUUUGGCAAGCUUUCACAAUACCAUUAAGAGUUUGAUUACCUUUGUUCAUGUGUGCGGGGACUGCCUGUGUUUUUUUGCAGAAAUUUUGAAUGUAAACCUUUUUGUUCUCUGAAAUGUUUUGCUUUGCUGGAACUUCUGCUAUUAUAUCAUAUUUUUAAAAUUGUAAAGCAUUCACUUUCAUUUAAACUGCACUUUGUUAUACUUAGUGGUCCUUUGCUGUAGUUUAGUGUUUUUCAGUAGAGUCCACCAGUUUCCUCUGUUGAAGUCUAUAUUGUUUAAUGUGAGUUGCAGGAUUGAAUCCUAUCUCUAAAUACAAAGUUCAGGGACUCCCUUCAAAAAGAAAAUCUUGCUUCCAUUUUAAGUGUUUGUAUGUACAACAAUAACUAAUUUACUGUGUAGCACCACAUUUCUCAUGUAGUUUUUAGCCCCAUCUUAUGAACUAAUAUUUUAUUUCUUUAUCCUUUUGUUAAUUCAUAAUUAAUGAGACUGAAUUUUGGCUGGCAGCAAAUACCCCUUUGUCUGUGGCCCCUUCAGAUCUCAUGAGCUAAGUAUGGUCAGGCCUCAUCAAUGCUUGGAUUGGAGACCUACAAAUAAAAUCCAGAUGCUGCAGGAAA
Long non-coding RNA from Dermochelys coriacea (leatherback sea turtle), 925 nucleotides. RefSeq lists it as uncharacterized. NCBI's taxonomy places the organism in Eukaryota, Metazoa, Chordata, Testudines, Dermochelyidae. The record is from RefSeq and is a predicted model, not a curated record. The transcript is spliced from 2 exons.